GCGUGGAGUGAAGUGGAGUGGAGUGGAGUGGCGUGGCGUGGCGUGGCGUGGCGUGGCGUGGCGUGGAGGCCUGCCCCAUGGCUGCUCUGUGUCUCUGGCA
RNAcentral lists this microRNA precursor (100 nucleotides) under Pelodiscus sinensis (Chinese soft-shelled turtle). Its description in RNAcentral is "miRNA (ENSPSIG00000019668.1)". The record is from RNAcentral. Lineage: Eukaryota; Metazoa; Chordata; Testudines; Trionychidae.